UGGUCCCUACGGGAGGCAGCAGUGAGGAAUAUUGGUCAAUGGCCGAGAGGCUGAACCAGCCAAGUCGCGUGAGGGAAGAAUGUCCUAAGGAUUGUAAACCUCUUUUGUCGGGGAGCAAAAAGGCUCUGCGGAGUCGUAUUGAGAGUACCCGAAGAAAAAGCAUCGGCUAACUCCGUGCCAGCAGCCGCGGUAAUACGGAGGAUGCGAGCGUUAUCCGGAUUUAUUGGGUUUAAAGGGUGCGCAGGCGGCACGGCAAGCCGGCGGUCAAAUCGCGGGGCUCAACCCCGCCCAGCCGUCGGAACUGC
RNAcentral lists this ribosomal RNA (305 nucleotides) under uncultured bacterium. RNAcentral describes it as "bacterial SSU rRNA". It matches the Rfam family "Bacterial small subunit ribosomal RNA", at positions 333 to 636 of the family's 1533-position model. The record is from RNAcentral.